UACGGAGGGGGCUAGCGUUGUUCGGAAUUACUGGGCGUAAAGCGCACGUAGGCGGCUUUGUAAGUUAGAGGUGAAAGCCCGGGGCUCAACUCCGGAAUUGCCCUUAAGACUGCAUCGCUAGAAUUGUGGAGAGGUAAGUGGAAUUCCGAGUGUAGAGGUGAAAUUCGUAGAUAUUCGGAAGAACACCAGUGGCGAAGGCGACUUACUGGACACAUAUUGACGCUGAGGUGCGAAAGCGUGGGGAGCAAACAGGG
RNAcentral lists this ribosomal RNA (254 nucleotides) under uncultured bacterium. Its description in RNAcentral is "partial 16S ribosomal RNA". It matches the Rfam family "Bacterial small subunit ribosomal RNA", at positions 524 to 777 of the family's 1533-position model. The record is from RNAcentral.